UAGAGAACUCGACCGUCAAUAUAAGAUAGCCAUACAUACCGCUUCU
This 46-nucleotide ribosomal RNA is filed under the name Amorphochlora amoebiformis. The record is from RNAcentral. Lineage: Eukaryota; Cercozoa; Chlorarachniophyceae.